AACGAACGCUGGCGGCAGGCUUAACACAUGCAAGUCGAACGCUCGUGAGCGAUCACGGGAGUGGCAGACGGGUGAGUAACGCGUGGGAACAUACCCUUUGGUUCGGAAUAACUCAGGGAAACUUGAGCUAAUACCGGAUACGCCCCCGGAUUUCCGGGGGGAAAGAUUGAUUGCCGGAGGAUUGGCCCGCGUUCGAUUAGCUAGUUGGUGAGGUAACGGCUCACCAAGGCGACGAUCGAUAGCUGGUCUGAGAGGAUGAUCAGCCACAUU
Molecule: ribosomal RNA, 270 nt
Filed under: uncultured bacterium
Lineage: Bacteria
Description: partial 16S ribosomal RNA
Rfam family: Bacterial small subunit ribosomal RNA
Source: RNAcentral